GAAGGGGAGUGGUAGUAGUGUGUAUACACCGCCUUCUGCUCGGUCAGUGGUGCCUGUAGUUUCUGUUCCUUCUGGGGGAUACCAGGUGACAGGGAAAGUCGCAGUUUUGAGGGGUGAGGAUUUCCCUUCAUUGCAGGCNAUUGCCAGCAACUUCUGUGCCUGAAAAGAAACAGAAGGAUGUUUUGAAUCAGAAACAGAAGCAAACGUUGGGUGAGGAAUUGGCUAAUGAACGGAAUAGUUCCCAAUUGAGUACACUUGUUGAUAUGCGUCCGCAAUUGCAGUCAAGGACUAAUAUUAGCAAUGGAUUGCAAGAGAAUGUUGCUGAAAUUCAUGGUUUGGGUGGUUCAGUCAUGCUUGAGAAAGA
This 364-nucleotide unclassified non-coding RNA is filed under the name Hevea brasiliensis (rubber tree). The record is from RNAcentral. Lineage: Eukaryota; Viridiplantae; Streptophyta; Magnoliopsida; Malpighiales; Euphorbiaceae.